GACAGAGGAGGCAAGCGUUGUUCGGAAUCACUGGGCUUAAAGCGCGUGUAGGCGGCUUCGUAAGUGUCUUGUGAAAUCCCACGGCUCAACCGUGGAAUGGCUGGGCAUACUGCGAGGCUUGAGGCAGGUAGGGGUCACUGGAACUCUAGGUGGAGCGGUGAAAUGCGUAGAUAUCUAGAGGAACGCCCGGGGCGAAAGCGGGUGACUGGGCCUGUCCUGACGCUGA
RNAcentral lists this ribosomal RNA (226 nucleotides) under uncultured prokaryote. Its description in RNAcentral is "partial 16S ribosomal RNA". It matches the Rfam family "Bacterial small subunit ribosomal RNA", at positions 524 to 749 of the family's 1533-position model. The record is from RNAcentral.